This 781-nucleotide ribosomal RNA is filed under the name Pleosporales sp. Its description in RNAcentral is "partial large subunit ribosomal RNA". It matches the Rfam family "Eukaryotic large subunit ribosomal RNA", at positions 70 to 858 of the family's 3401-position model. Lineage: Eukaryota; Fungi; Ascomycota; Dothideomycetes; Pleosporales. The record is from RNAcentral.
AGGGAUUGCCCUAGUAACGGCGAGUGAAGCGGCAUCAGCUCAAAUUUGAAAUCUGGCUCUUUCAGAGUCCGAGUUGUAAUUUGCAGAGGGCGCUUUGGUGUCGGCAGCGGUCCAAGUUCCUUGGAACAGGACGUCACAGAGGGUGAGAAUCCCGUACGUGGUCGCUGACCUACACCGUGUAAAGCCCCUUCGACGAGUCGAGUUGUUUGGGAAUGCAGCUCUAAAUGGGAGGUAAAUUUCUUCUAAAGCUAAAUACUGGCCAGAGACCGAUAGCGCACAAGUAGAGUGAUCGAAAGAUGAAAAGCACUUUGGAAAGAGAGUCAAACAGCACGUGAAAUUGUUGAAAGGGAAGCGCUUGCAGCCAGACUUGCUUGUAGUUGCUCAUCCGGGCUUUUGCCCGGUGCACUCUUCUGCGAGCAGGCCAGCAUCAGUUUGGACGGUUGGAUAAAGGCCUCUGUCACGUACCUUCUCUCGGGAAGGCCUUAUAGGGGGAGGCGUCAUGCAACCAGUCUGGACUGAGGUCCGCGCAUCUGCUAGGAUGCUGGCGUAAUGGCUGUAAGCGGCCCGUCUUGAAACACGGACCAAGGAGUCUAACAUCUAUGCCAGUGUUUUGGGUGUCAAGCCCCGAGCGCGUAAUGGAAAGUGAACCGGAGGUGGGGACCCCCGCAAGGGGUGCACCAUCCAACCGAUCCCUGAUGUCUUCCGGAGGGAUUUUGAGUAAAAAGCAUGGGCUGUUGGGGAACCCGAAAAGAUGGGUGAAACUAAUGCUUGGAAUAAGGGG